AUCAGGAUUAAUGACUAGCAGCUGUGCACCUUAACUCGCGACGCUCUGAUUGGUCAGUGAAAGUCUCCCACAACUAUAAUCAGCUAUUUGCACGUUUAUGUAACUCAGGCUGUAGGAGGUUGCUCAUCAAAUAUGAUGGCUGGCUUGGCCUACUCAAGGUAACAACUAGUUUAUGGCUUCCUCUUUUUUUUCUCCUUUCAACUUGAUUUUUUAUUUUUUUUAAAAAACAAUUUUAUUCUGAUGUUUCUCAAUAGGCUGUGGCUACUUGUCAUACUGGCUGGUGCAAUUAAUGGAUACUUCACAAAGAAAGCUUUGGAUCCUCUUGGGGCUUCUGGUACAAACCGUUUUUAGUUCCAGUCGGGAACCUGGCCCUGGAUAUGUCGCUGAAGACUCUGCUUUCUCACGUGCGCCAAAGUGAGCUGCACAGCUUUAUACAGAUGAGCAACCUAGAUGCACUCAUCCUAGUGCUCAGAUGAGACCAGUUCCUGCUCUCUAUGGGUCGGAUGUAUAUCCAGUACAUCAAGGAUUCCCUACCUUACCAAACCAAGUUCAGUGAGCGGUCGAUCCUCCCACUCCUUUUUUUGGUAAAACUUCCCCUCUGGUUGAGUCAAGCUUUGUCUCUGAAAGUCCUGGCUACGUGAGCCCUCCAGGGCCAUUUCCCAUGUUCCAGCCAGGAGAAGCUUCUUAUGAGAAGAGGACCUACGAACAAGGAGACUAUGACUCUGAAGACAGAGGCCCUCCUCCCCAGUACCUUCCUGUCCCGCCUCUAAAUGAAUUUGCCAUUGGUAGCCCACUGGCACUGGGCACACCUGUAGAUCGACUUCAACAUGGUUAUCCUCUACUUGAGUACAUGUUGAGUAGGUUUCCACCAAUCAACUUGCCCACCGACGAAACCAAAGGCAUGACAGUGGCCACUUUGGUGAUCCUUGGUAAGGAUCACGUUACCAUACGUGUCAACUGGAAACCUACCCAAAUCGUAAAAGGUACCCUCUUCAAACUCAACAGAACAUUGAUAAGGCUGGCUACAGUGUUCACUAAUGUUGUAGCUGAGUCUCUAAUGGUGCUGAUCUGCAGGAAGACUCCCCUAAUGCCAGGGGAGUCUUCCCCUUCACCAAUCUUUCAGAAGCUCACUCUGCUGAAAGAUUGUUUAACUCUUUGGCAACCUGGAUUUUAAUUUUUCUGAAACUACUACUUGACCCUUGAUUCUGUUAA
Xiphophorus couchianus (Monterrey platyfish) is the source of this 1212-nucleotide long non-coding RNA. RefSeq lists it as uncharacterized. NCBI's taxonomy places the organism in Eukaryota, Metazoa, Chordata, Actinopteri, Cyprinodontiformes, Poeciliidae. The record is from RefSeq and is a predicted model, not a curated record. The transcript has 3 exons.